CCUACGGGUGGCAGCAGUGGGGAAUAUUGCACAAUGGGGGAAACCCUGAUGCAGCGACGCCGCGUGAGUGAAGAAGUAUUUCGGUAUGUAAAGCUCUAUCAGCAGGGAAGAAAAAGACGGUACCUGAUUAAGAAGCCCCGGCUAACUACGUGCCAGCAGCCGCGGUAAUACGGAGGGGGCAAGCGUUAUCCGGAUUUACUGGGUGUAAGGGGAGCGUAGACGGCAGCGCAAGUCUGAAGUGAAAGGGCGGGGCUUAACCCCGGAACUGCUUUGGAAACUGUGCAGCUAGAGUGCAGGAGAGGUAAGUGGAAUUCCUAGUGUAGCGGUGAAAUGCGUAGAUAUUAGGAGGAACACCAGUGGCGAAGGCGGCUUACGGGACUGUAACUGACGUUGAGGCUCGAAAGCGUGGGGAGCAAACAGGAUUAGAUACCCGAGUAGUC
This 440-nucleotide ribosomal RNA is filed under the name uncultured bacterium. RNAcentral describes it as "partial 16S ribosomal RNA". It matches the Rfam family "Bacterial small subunit ribosomal RNA", at positions 338 to 795 of the family's 1533-position model. The record is from RNAcentral.